UGAGGAAUAUUGGUCAAUGGGCGAGAGCCUGAACCAGCCAAGUCGCGUGAAGGAAGAAGGAUCUAUGGUUCGUAAACUUCUUUUGCAGGGGAAUAAAGUGCGGGACGUGUCCUGUUUUGUAUGUACCCUGAGAAUAAGGAUCGGCUAACUCCGUGCCAGCAGCCGCGGUAAUACGGAGGAUCCGAGCGUUAUCCGGAUUUAUUGGGUUUAAAGGGUGCGUAGGUGGUUUGAUAAGUCAGCGGUGAAAGUUUGCAGCUUAACUGUAAAAAUGCCGUUGAAACUUGCGGACUUGAGUGUAAAUGAGGUAGGCGGAAUUCGUGGUGUAGCGGUGAAAUGCAUAGAUAUCACGCAGAACUCCGAUUGCGAAGGCAGCUUACUAAGCUACAACUGACACUGAAGCGCGAAAGCGUGGGGAUCAAACA
RNAcentral lists this ribosomal RNA (422 nucleotides) under uncultured prokaryote. Its description in RNAcentral is "bacterial SSU rRNA". It matches the Rfam family "Bacterial small subunit ribosomal RNA", at positions 355 to 774 of the family's 1533-position model. The record is from RNAcentral.